AGUGAACGCUGGCGGUAGGCCUAACACAUGCAAGUCGAACGGCAGCACAGUAAGAGCUUGCUCUUACGGGUGGCGAGUGGCGGACGGGUGAGGAAUACAUCGGAAUCUACUUUUUCGUGGGGGAUAACGUAGGGAAACUUACGCUAAUACCGCAUACGACCUACGGGUGAAAGCAGGGGAUCUUCGGACCUUGCGCGAUUGAAUGAGCCGAUGUCGGAUUAGCUAGUUGGCGGGGUAACGGCCCACCAAGGCGACGAUCCGUAGCUGGUCUGAGAGGAUGAUCAGCCACACUGGAACUGAGACACGGUCCAGACUCCUACGGGAGGCAGCAGUGGGGAAUAUUGGACAAUGCGCGCAAGCCUGAUCCAGCCAUACCGCGUGAGUGAAGAAGGCCUUCGGGUUGUAAAGCCCUUUUGUUGGGAAAGAAAAGCAGCAGGUUAAUACCCCGCUGUUCUGACGGUACCCAAAGAAUAAGCACCGGCUAACUUCGUG
RNAcentral lists this ribosomal RNA (492 nucleotides) under uncultured bacterium. RNAcentral describes it as "partial 16S ribosomal RNA". It matches the Rfam family "Bacterial small subunit ribosomal RNA", at positions 29 to 507 of the family's 1533-position model. The record is from RNAcentral.